This is a long non-coding RNA of Ipomoea nil (Japanese morning glory), 520 nucleotides long. RefSeq lists it as uncharacterized. NCBI's taxonomy places the organism in Eukaryota, Viridiplantae, Streptophyta, Magnoliopsida, Solanales, Convolvulaceae. The transcript is spliced from 4 exons. The record is from RefSeq and is a predicted model, not a curated record.
UUUUUCAAUUGCAUUCCCACAUAACCUGAUGGGCAUUCCGUGACAGAUAUUUUAGGUUCUGCAUGUACUCACUUGACAUUUUUCACUUUUCUGCUUUGUCUUGCAGGAAACGAAGCGCAAUAAGCUCAAGGAGUUCUUGAAUUUUGCAAGGCCUAUGGGUGUUACACAUUUUCUCAUUUUAUCAAUGCAAAUAUUUGAAACUUGCCAUUAAAUCUCCUCUAAGUUGAAUAUCUAUUCGACUCAAGUUGGGGUGGAUAAUAUGUGCAUAUUGGUGCUCAUUGAUGAAUCUACACAAGCAACUGAACCCGAAUGCCUUAUUCCCUUGGUUCUGGGAACAAAGCAGCCAAUUACUUUUGCACUGGUGUACGUUGGAACAACUCUGAAGGACAUUUCUGAUGUAACACACGGGUGGGGUGAAUUCUCAAAAACCCGUUGGGUAAGACUAGCUGAAAUUCAUAUCUAAAUUUAAGAAGUGUAAUAACCACAUUCAGUUCCUCACCCUUUUGGUCAAAAACUUGCA